AGAGCGAACGCUGGCGGCAGGCUUAACACAUGCAAGUCGAGCGGGCGUAGCAAUACGUCAGCGGCAGACGGGUGAGUAACGCGUGGGAACAUACCUUUUGGUUCGGAACAACACAGGGAAACUUGUGCUAAUACCGGAUAAGCCCUUACGGGGAAAGAUUUAUCGCCGAAAGAUUGGCCCGCGUCUGAUUAGCUAGUUGGUGAGGUAACGGCUCACCAAGGCGACGAUCAGUAGCUGGUCUGAGAGGAUGAUCAGCCACAUUGGGACUGAGACACGGCCCAAACUCCUACGGGAGGCAGCAGUGGGGAAUAUUGGACAAUGGGCGCAAGCCUGAUCCAGCCAUGCCGCGUGAGUGAUGAAGGCCCUAGGGUUGUAAAGCUUCUUUUGUGCGGGAAGAUAAUGACGGUACCGCAAGAAUAAGCCCGGCUAACUUCGCGCCAGCAGCCGC
Molecule: ribosomal RNA, 448 nt
Filed under: uncultured bacterium
Lineage: Bacteria
Description: SSU rRNA
Rfam family: Bacterial small subunit ribosomal RNA
Source: RNAcentral